RNAcentral lists this ribosomal RNA (277 nucleotides) under uncultured bacterium. RNAcentral describes it as "partial 16S ribosomal RNA". It matches the Rfam family "Bacterial small subunit ribosomal RNA", at positions 334 to 628 of the family's 1533-position model. The record is from RNAcentral.
AGCGCCUACGGGACGCAGCAGUGGGGAAUAUUGCGCAAUGGGGGAAACCCUGAUCCAGCGAUGCCGCGUGAGGGAAGAAGGUUUUCGGAUUGUAAACCUCUGUGGAGGGGGACGAUAAUGACGGUACCCCUUUAGGAAGCCACGGCUAACUACGUGCCAGCAGCCGCGGUAAUACGUAGGUGGCGAGCGUUGUCCGGAAUUACUGGGUGUAAAGGGAGUGUAGGCGGGAAAGCAAGUCAUAAGUGAAAACUCUGGGCUUAACCCAUAGCCUGCUUUU